UACCAUGGCAAUCACGGGUAACGGAGAAUUAGGGUUCGAUUCCGGAGAGGGAGCCUGAGAAACGGCUACCACAUCUACGGAAGGCAGCAGGCGCGAAAAUUGCCCAAUCCUGAUUCAGGGAGGCAGUGACAAGAAAUAACAACUUUCAACUUUGUUGAAAAGUGUAAUGAGGAUAAUUUACAAACCUUACCGAAAGCAUUUGGAGGGCAAGUCUGGUGCCAGCAGCCGCGGUAAUUCCAGCUCCAAAAGCGUAUAUUAAAGUUGUUGCAGUUAAAGAGCUCGUAGUUGAAGUUCUGGCUGUAUUGGGCCUUAGCACUUGAUGCGGAGGAACCAGCAGUCAUCCGCUUGCAAAUACAUGUCCUUCCUUAACCGGUGGGCUGUAUAAGUAAGCACUUUACCUUGAGAAAAACAGAGUGUUCCAGGCAGGUUUGUCCGGAAUGCGUUAGCAUGGAAUAAUAGAAUAUGACUGAAGUCGAUUUAUUGGUUUAAGGCUUUAGUAAUGAUUAAUAGGAACAAUCGGGGGCAUUGGUACUUGUCAGUCAGAGGUGAAAUUCUAGGAUUUGACAAAGACUAACUGAUGCGAAAGCGUUUGCCAAGAAUGUUUUCAUUAAUCAAGAACGAAAGUUAGGGGAUCAAAGACGAUCAGAUACCGUCCUAGUCUUAACUAUAAACUAUACCGACUCGGAUUCAGAUGAAUUUUAAAGUUCAUUUGGGACCGUAGGAGAAAUCAAAGUCUUUGGGUUCUGGGGGGAGUAUGGUCGCAAGGCUGAAACUUAAAGGAAUUGACGGUUUUGCACCACCAUGGAGUGGAGCCUGCGGCUUAAUUUGACUCAACACUGGGAAACUCAUCAGGGCAAGAAGAUUUUAGGAUUGACAGAUUGAGAGUUCUUUCUUGAUUGGUCUAGUGGUGGUGCAUGGCCGUUCUUAGUUGGUGGAGUGGUUUGUCUGGUUAAUUCCGUUAACGAACGAGACCUUAACCUGCUAACUAGUACUUUGAUUUUCAAUCGGAGUUACUUCUUAGAGGGACUAUGUGAGUAAUCACAUGGAAGUUUGAGGCAAUAACAGGUCUGUGAUGCCCUUAGAUGUCCUGAGCUGCACGCGCGCUACAAUGACACAUUCAGCGAGUAUUUCCUGACCCGAAAGGGCUCGGGUAAUCUUUUCAGUGUGUGUCGUGAUAGGGAUAGAUCUUUGUAAUUAUGGAUCUUGAACGAGGAAUUCCUAGUAAGCGCACGUCAUCAGCGUGUGCUGAUUACGUCCCUGCAAAAUGUACACACCGCCCGUCGCUAUUACCGAUUGGGUGUAUAGGUGAACCUUCUCGAUAGCCGCAAGGCUAGAAAUUAAGUAAACCUUUGCACCUAGAGGAAAUAAAAGUCGUAACAAGGUU
This 1384-nucleotide ribosomal RNA is filed under the name metagenome. RNAcentral's name for it is "SSU rRNA". It matches the Rfam family "Eukaryotic small subunit ribosomal RNA", at positions 342 to 1801 of the family's 1831-position model. The record is from RNAcentral.